This 253-nucleotide ribosomal RNA is filed under the name uncultured bacterium. RNAcentral's name for it is "partial 16S ribosomal RNA". It matches the Rfam family "Bacterial small subunit ribosomal RNA", at positions 524 to 776 of the family's 1533-position model. The record is from RNAcentral.
UACGUAGGUGGCAAGCGUUAUCCGGAAUUACUGGGCGUAAAGCGCGCGCAGGCGGUUUCUUAAGUCUGAUGUGAAAGCCCACGGCUCAACCGUGGAGGGUCAUUGGAAACUGGGGAACUUGAGUGCAGAAGAGAAAAGCGGAAUUCCACGUGUAGCGGUGAAAUGCGUAGAGAUGUGGAGGAACACCAGUGGCGAAGGCGGCUUUUUGGUCUGUAACUGACGCUGAGGCGCGAAAGCGUGGGGAGCAAACAGG